Molecule: non-coding RNA, 107 nt
Filed under: Tumebacillus flagellatus
Lineage: Bacteria; Bacillati; Bacillota; Bacilli; Caryophanales; Alicyclobacillaceae
Description: TPP sequence
Rfam family: TPP riboswitch aptamer (THI element)
About the family: Vitamin B(1) in its active form thiamin pyrophosphate (TPP) is an essential coenzyme that is synthesised by coupling of pyrimidine and thiazole moieties in bacteria. The previously detected thiamin-regulatory element, thi box was extended, resulting in a new, highly conserved RNA secondary structure, the THI element, which is widely distributed in eubacteria and also occurs in some archaea. Analysis of operon structures identified a large number of new candidate thiamin-regulated genes, mostly transporters, in various prokaryotic organisms.
Source: Rfam by way of RNAcentral
AGCAGUUGCUAGGGGUGCCGAAAGUAUGGCUGAGAGGCGUAAGGAGCGCCAACCCUCUGAACUCGAUCCUGGGUAAUACCGGCGUGAGGAAGUGACGGAGACUGCGA